CCGCGGACGCUCAGCCGCUCCGGGGAGCGCGCCGAGGCUCGGAGCCGCGGGGGCGGGAGCGGCCACAGCCUGGGCCGGGCGCGCGUGCACACGGGCGCGCGGCCUCCGGGCGGGAGCGGGAGCCCGCGCCGCCGCGAGUCCCGGCUCCGGGGAGAGGGUUGCGGCUUGGCGCCGGGGCCUCCUCCGCGCGCCCCGCCCGCCCGCCGCCCGCUUAACCCUUUCCAGGACCCCGGGACUUCCUGCCGAGAUGCGGGCUGCAGGCGUGGAGGGCGGCGCCACCUGUCCCCACGACGGCCCCACGGCCGAGGCUGGGGCCCAGCUGCGCCCCGGUAUUCCAGGAUAAAAGACAAAAACGUUGCGAACGCUCAGAGGAAACUGCUGAACUUUGUUCUUCUGUCUGGAAGUGUGGCCUCAACCAUCUCUGGCUCCCUGCAGCUCGGACCUGGCGUAGGGCCACAGGGGGACCCUCUGGACCUCACCGAGAACUUCAAGUGUUAGCUCCACAAAGCCAGUGGACAAGGGAGACACUUCCUCUGACUUCAGCUGCUUUUUAGUCCUACAUACAGCUGCUUCCUGCCCAGACUUUGCCGGUUUCAUACACUGCGAGGCUUUUGGAUUUCAGCGCCAGAGCUAACACCCUGAGAACAUCCUUAAAAAACGUUUUCAUUCUGCCAAGUGGAAUACUUUACCUCGGGAUUUGGAUCAAAGGAAGCAGAAACCAAGCAAACUACUGGGAUGUAUAUUUUUAAAUUAUCAGUUAACUAUACCAGAAGCAGAUCUUUGGGGGGCUGAACUCAUUCCCAUCAUGCUCCAUUUUUGUUUUGUUCUCUUUACUCCAAAAACAUUCCAAAAUCUACUGGGAUCUCUUUUAGCAGAUGUUCUGUUCACCUUCACAUGGAGACUGUGUGUCACUAGCUCACCCAGCUCCAUUGGCUUAAAGAUGCCUGGAGUGGAGUUUUAAACUUAUUUCCCAGCAAUGCCUCCAGCCCUUACCCCCAUUCUUUCGGGGGAAACUUUAGGCUGACCCACAGCUUUAUAGCCUCACCCACGUCCCCCACCCACUUUUGUGGAUUAGGAUCCAGUGGCCCCUAAGUUUUCCCCAACCAAAGGUGGAGUACUGGCCUGUCUUCUCUACCGCUCUCCAAACUUCCAGAGAUCAGGUACGUCGCAUUUAACUUUUCUUCCCGCGGGAUCUUACUAUGCUUGCCAUAUACUAUAGGUUCUUAGUAAAUGUUUAUUGAAUGAGCGAAAAAGUAAAUGAAUUAACUUAAAAUAUUCAUCCAACCCAUGUGCCAUCUGGUAGAUAAGGUGUGUGGGGAACCCCAUCCAUUUUCAGACUUUACAUGUUUUAUUUUUAAAAACAUACUGUGGUCCCAAUAUGGCCAAUGGAAAUUGCCAGGGAACGAUCCAUGCAUUUAAUUAGGAAGUCAUUCAAACUACAGGGACAUCCAGAGUCCCUGAAGUCAAACAUGGGAUCCAACAAUACCCAGAAGAAGAAGGACUUGUCAUAAACAUUAAAUAACGUCCAUUCCAACAGUAUUUCAAGAAUAUUAUUAUUUUACUGUUUUAAAUUUUCCACUGCUCAGAAAGAGCCUAACCACGCAUGGCACACUUGAAGAAGUGUAUAAAUGAGCCGUGCAGAGCUGUAUGAGAUAUAAAUGAAAACGUAAGUGAAACUCAGAAUUGCCCUGGGUGAGAUGUUGUCCAGCCCCCUAAUAAAUGCAGGGUCUCCCGGCCUGGGCACCAGGCUUAGGGGACUCUGACCCCCAUCUGGAAACUGCAUGGGGAGAGCAGAGAGCACAGCUUUGGAAUUCAACAGAUGGGAUUUCAAACACCAAUGUCACCAUUUCUCCAUCUUAAGAAAUUUGCACAGAACCCCUGACCUCUCUGUGUUCUUCUGUCCUCUUCUGUCUGACCAAGGUGACACAUGCAAGGCAUUUAGUGCAGUGGGUCUUAACUCUAGCGGGAGAACAGCCCCACUCGUCACCUGUGACUUUGUCACUGCCCCUCUGGCUGAGUGUCAGCAAAUACUUUCUGCGCUCCCAGUUCUGUGCUUCUGCGUGUCGUUUUCAUCACACAACACCCAGUACUUACAGAAGAUUCAGGCGACUGGGCAGUCCAACAUUGGGCCCUGUUUGGGUGCUGGACACUGGUUUUCUACUCGUGCUGAUGCCAGAGAGCAGAUAGUUUCCCCAAAGCUUAAUAGCCCCUAAGAGUUGAUGCACUCCUGCCUUCCAAUAAAAAGCAAUUAAAUUCCAGUAGCUGCCAGGAAUCGAUCCCGUUGCUACAUAGUACUUUGAGUCUCUUGGCAUGAAAAAUUAACCAGAAUAUCUGUGUGUUGGUGUGGAAACAUCAGUCCCUGCGGCCUUGAACAAUUCUGCCCGUGUCGUACGAACACGAAGCCAUCUCCUACACAGAGCUCCCCGAAAUUCCCCUGGCCCCACCGUGACUACCCCCUUCGGCUCUGAUGGCUCUGGGUCCGUUUGCCGUGUCGUGUAAGCCAUUUCUUCAACAUGGUGAAUAUUCUCCUCAGGCCUGAGUUUUCCCAAGCAUCUAAUUAGCCCGUGCCUGAGAAUGUUACACCCGAAAAAGAGGAAUGUAAGUGCCCUGAAAUACUGUUGACGAUUGGCCAUUAACUGGUUGUGUACUGACCGUGUACUUGUGAUGUCACUGCACACAUUUUCUGUUAUGGACAGUCCCGGGUUUAGGAGAAUACCUGAGCGGUCCUGAUCUGAAUAGGACAGUGGAGACCUUUCUUUUUAGCCUCAAGCCCCAGGGCCAGCACUGUGAGCAGAUCAAGCUGUGCUCAGUGCUGGUCCAGUCGGUGAGAGGAGGAAGCCUGAUUGUGCUGAGUGUCUCCCUCCUGCCGUCCUUCAUCACUGUGGGCAGCAGAAGGAGGGGGGUGGGGGGGGCUGGCAGGCCACCAGGAGGCCAACAGUUCCUGUCAAGUGAGUCAGGACUGCAAUCCCUAAAGGCCGUGAAGUUUAUUAGUGCUGAUUCUGGUAAACCUUCUCUUGGAAAAGACAUACCAACUGAACAGUUACUUUUAAAUACUUUAAAGGCAUGUGUUUAUCCUGUUAGAGCAAGUUAUUUACAAUCAAAUACGAUCUCACAUGAAUCUUUGCGGUAUACCUACACGUAAGCGUGCAUGUAACUCCGCAAAAUACCCAGGUGUAGAUACACGCACUGCCAGAGGGCAGUUUCACAGUUGAGGGAACGAACUCUCUCUCAAAGAGUCCGAUGUCACUCUCGUGUCACGUGCGGCCGAGCAGGGAUGCUAGUCCUGCCCAACCCCGGGCCCUUCUUCACAUUGACAGUGAAACACCUGUCUUUCCAAAUGAACGAGUCCGAUCUUCCGAGUACAGAUCAAGGAGGAGGCACAAAACCAUACUUUGUGUAACGGGAAUCGAUAUGUUAAAAAUAAAAUCGGUUUCCUAGUACAUCUCAGUGGCUUCAUCCUGCCACACUGAUUUCACCCCAAGCCCCAAACACUUUGUGCUGUGAGUGAAGGGUUCGCUUUUCCAGCCGAAGCUGCCCGGUGCGUGAGUCUCCCGAGGCCGGGGCGGGGAGGGAGGGUGUUGGCCUUGCAACCUGGGGGAUGGGUCCUUCUCUGCCUUAAAAACCAUUCUGCUCAACACUCCUACUUCGCACAGUGGGCCUGCAGGAACUUUCCGGAAGGGAGUCUCCUGCCGCUCGCCCACUGCUCUAGUAGGUUAGGGCCAGGACGGGAGUUCUCUCCUGGACAAGCGGCACUGGGGACGCCCAGUGGUGUGGGUGCAGCAGGAGGGCCCGGUGCCUUUACCGCCACGCCGGGAAGGCGGUCCCCAGAGAGGGGUGCCUGCUGUUCUCAGGUCAGUCUCUUCUACAGCACAGUUCUCUCACUACACAAGGAAUGCUCGUGGGGCGUCUGGGUGGCUCGGUCAGUUAAGCAGCAAGGUCAGGAUCUUGCGAUUCGUGGGUUCGAGCCCCACGUCAGGCUCCUUGCUGAUGGCCAGGACCCUGCUUGGGAUUCUGUCUCGCUCCUGCUCUCUGCCCCUCCUCUGCUCUCUCUCUCUCAAGAUAAAUAACUUUAAAAAAAAUCCAGUUAAAAAGAAAACAAUGUCAGCAAUGCCUUAGGUGAGGUGCAAGGUUAAAUGAGACAAAAACCAAACUCAAAAUGGAAGCACAGUGUUACUGUCUCCCACUGAUAACACAGGGACUGCAAAAAAAGUUUUUUUUUCAAGUUUUCACACAGUAAAGGUCUAAUUAGGAAAUCUCAAAAGUAUAAACUAAAUAAGGACACCUUAUCCAAUUAACCCCAACUUAAAGGUUCUUAUGGGUUAAGUUGUGUCCCCCCGACCCCCGAUAAAGGCAUGUUGGAGUCCCAGCCCCUCAGAGCGUGACCUUAUUUGGAGAUGGGGCAGCCAACUGAAAUGAGCCGGUUAGGGCGGGCCCUAACGCAAGGUGAGCGGGUCCUUCCAGAAGGAGACUCCGUCACAGACGUGGAUGGGCACAGAGGGAGGCUGAGUGAAGGCAGAGGCAGAGGCUGGAACGAUACGGCCACAGCCGAGGACGCUGGCGAGCUCCGGCCCGCAGACGGGGAGGCCGUGACGCAGGGGUGCCAGCCUGGCCUACGGACCGUGGGAGGGCACGUGUCCCCUGCCCCGGCCUCCCGCGGCCCUUCCUUACGGCAGCUCUGGGAAAGCAGGACAGGGGUCUGGGGUCUUCGCCUCUCAGACGGUCUGCUGUGGGGGAGCACGUGGCUGUUUUCCUUGUUUUUAGCCCGCUGAGGACUGGCCUUCUCAAAAUACGAUACAAAUGAAUGGGUGGACAAAGGAGAGCUUGGCAAGGAUACACAAUACUUCCUUGGGAAGCAUACAGCCACUUCCUCGGGAUGCAGUUAAACGGGCACACGGCAUUCUGUCAAUAUGUCACCCGCGUCUCUGCUCCGCACGCGGCCUGGGGACAGUCGGGGACCCGGCUCUGCUGGAGGAUGUGGGUCUGAGGAGCAGCAGGCUGUCUGUCGGCUGGUCCUCGAGAAGCCCCGGGCCACGGCACCCAGGGCGGCACGGCUGGGCUCUCCCGCUCCGUCUGUCCGGACCUCGACUUCCCGUGGGGUUGGGCAAUGGGCUCGAGGAAAAGUAGCCGUGGGGUGGGGGAGGGGUGGUCACAAAGGGGCUCUAAACUAUUUCCAAUAAACAUACACAGAAUCCGGGGCGCCCGGGGGGGCUCAGUCAGUCAAACACCCGACUCCUGAUUUCGGUUCCAGUCAGGAGCUCACGAUUGGUGAGCUCGAGCCCCACGUCGGGCUCUGGGCUGACAGCGCGGAGUCUGCCUGGCAUUUUCUCUCUCCCUCCCUCUCUGCCCCUCCCCCACCAGCUCUCUCUCAGGAUAAACGAUUAAAAGUCUGUACGUGGACACGGAACCUGGCGGCCGGCCAGGCGGGCCUCCGCGUCUUCCAGCACACAGCCCCUUUCCCGCCGCUCCGGGGUUCGGCCGGGUGCCCGCCAGAAGAGCGCUCCUGAGGGACAUCGAAGCCGGAGGGCCUGUGUGAACCCUGGCCUUUCGGGUGCGCGAUGCUCUGGUUUUGUGGUUACAGAGAUGCUGGACGCUGCUUCCUCGGCCCCGCUCCUGCGCUCAGCCCCCCAGAAGCAGGGGGCGGCCUCGGCCGGAGGAAGGGCCGCCUGGCGCAGCUGCAGGGGACGGGACCCCGCAGCUCACAGUCGUUCUGUGCCGCCGCAGGAGGCCCGGGGCCACCAAGCCUUCCCAGCUUCCUCUGCCUUCCUCCCGAGAGGCCUCUGCCUCCUGCUGUGUCUCCCCUCCUCGGGCAUCUUUGGGGUCCCGCUCGGGAGGGAGCCUCCGUGGGAGGGGACCCCCGGGUAAGCAGAUGACGGCACUGAGCUCCUGCGAUCAUCCGGACCCUUCCAGCAAGGCCGAGCCGGGCGCCUCCGGGAGCCGCCGGACGAGAUGGGCGGAAAUGUCCACGCAGGAAAGCGGUUGUGUUACGGGAGCCUCCCCGCCGCACCUGUGUCGCACCUGACACGGUGCGCGUCCGGGGGCUGCUCCCAGCUCUGCGUCCAGGCCCGCUCGGGGCCUCUCCGAAGCCUGCCUGCCAC
Molecule: long non-coding RNA, 6095 nt
Organism: Prionailurus viverrinus (fishing cat)
Lineage: Eukaryota; Metazoa; Chordata; Mammalia; Carnivora; Felidae
Exons: 3
Source: RefSeq, a predicted model, not a curated record